Long non-coding RNA from Eucalyptus grandis, 167 nucleotides. RefSeq lists it as uncharacterized. Lineage: Eukaryota; Viridiplantae; Streptophyta; Magnoliopsida; Myrtales; Myrtaceae. The record is from RefSeq and is a predicted model, not a curated record. The transcript is spliced from 2 exons.
UUGGGAUUCUAGGUUGGUUGUCGUUUUACUUGUGGAGAAUUGAAGUGUUGCAAGUUGAAUAAGAAGUAAUGAAUGAAAGUGACAGUGACGAGGGUUCAUUAGACUUAUGUGAUAAUGAACUAUAUAUAUCCGAUGAUGAAGAGAUCAAUACAAGGGAGAUGAGGAAA